RNAcentral lists this ribosomal RNA (344 nucleotides) under uncultured Anaerolineaceae bacterium. RNAcentral describes it as "bacterial SSU rRNA". It matches the Rfam family "Bacterial small subunit ribosomal RNA", at positions 1026 to 1382 of the family's 1533-position model. Lineage: Bacteria; Bacillati; Chloroflexota; Anaerolineae; Anaerolineales; Anaerolineaceae. The record is from RNAcentral.
AGGCUUGAACAGGUGCUGCAUGGCUGUCGUCAGCUCGUGUCGUGAGAUGUUCGGUUAAGUCCGCUAACGAGCGCAACCCUCGCUGUGUGUUACAAGUGUCACACGGAACUGCCGGUCAUAAACCGGAGGAAGGUGGGGAUGACGUCAAGUCAGCAUGGCCUUUAUAUCCUGGGCUACACACACGCUACAAUGGGAAGGGACAAUAGGUUGCGAAGCCGCGAGGCGGAGCCAAUCCAGCAAAACUUCCCUCAGUUCAGAUUGCAGGCUGCAACUCGCCUGCAUGAAGUUGGAGUUGCUAGUAAACGCAGGUCAGCCAUACUGCGUUGAAUACGUUCCCGGGGCUU